RNAcentral lists this small RNA (833 nucleotides) under Pan troglodytes (chimpanzee). RNAcentral describes it as "processed transcript". Lineage: Eukaryota; Metazoa; Chordata; Mammalia; Primates; Hominidae. The record is from RNAcentral.
UCUCCCCCAGCACUGAGGAGCUCGCCUGCUGCCCUCUUGCGCGCGGGAAGCAGCACCAAGUUCACGGCCAACGCCUAGGCACUAGGGUUUUGAAGAGAUAGGGGACACGCUCUAUGCCCCCUAUUCCACACAUUUUCAGCUGCAGAACCAGCCUCCCCAAAAGGAAUUCUCCAUCCCACGGGCCCACGCUUGGCCGAGCCCUUACAAAGACUAUGAAGUAAAGAAAGAGGGCAGCUAACUCUGUCCUGAAGAGUGGGACAAAUGCAGCCGGGCGGCAGAUCUAGCGGGAGCUCAAAGGGAUGUGGGCGAAAUCUUGAGUCUUCUGAGAAAACUGUACAAGACACUACGGGAACAGUUUGCCUCCCUCCCAGCCUCAACCACAAUUCUUCCAUGCUGGGGCUGAUGUGGGCUAGUAAGACUCCAGUUCUUAGAGGCGCUGUAGUAUUUUUUUUUUUUUUGUCUCAUCCUUAGGAUACUUCUUUUAAGUGGGAGUCUCAGGCAACUCAAGUUUAGACCCUUACUCUUUUUGUUUGUUUUUUGAAACAGGAUCUUGCUCUGUCACCCAGGCUUGAGUGCAGUGGCGCGAUCACAGCCCAGUGCAGCCUCGACCACCUGUGCUCAAGCAAUCCUCCCAUCUCCACCUCCCAAAGUGCUGGGAUGACAGGCGUGAGCCACAGCUCCCAGCCUAGGCCCUUAAUCUUGCUGUUAUUUUCCAUGGACUAAAGGUCUGGCCAUCUGAGUGCACGCUGGCUCACACAGCUCUAGGGGCCUGCUCCUCUAACUCACAGUGGGUUUUGUGAGGCUCUGUGGCCCAGAGCAGACCUGCAUAUCUG